Molecule: ribosomal RNA, 451 nt
Filed under: uncultured bacterium
Lineage: Bacteria
Description: bacterial SSU rRNA
Rfam family: Bacterial small subunit ribosomal RNA
Source: RNAcentral
UUCCAGACUCCUACGGGAGGCAGCAGUGGGGAAUAUUGGGCAAUGGACGCAAGUCUGACCCAGCAACGCCGCGUGAAGGAAGAAGGCUUUCGGGUUGUAAACUUCUUUUAAGGGGGAAGAGCAGAAGACGGUACCCCUUGAAUAAGCCACGGCUAACUACGUGCCAGCAGCCGCGGUAAUACGUAGGUGGCAAGCGUUGUCCGGAUUUACUGGGUGUAAAGGGCGUGCAGCCGGAGAGACAAGUCAGAUGUGAAAUCCACGGGCUCAACCCGUGAACUGCAUUUGAAACUGUGUUUCUUGAGUACUGGAGAGGCAGACGGAAUUCCUAGUGUAGCGGUGAAAUGCGUAGAUAUUAGGAGGAACACCAGUGGCGAAGGCGGUCUGCUUGACAGCAACUGACGCUGAGGCGCGAAAGCGUGGGGAGCAAACAGGAUUAGAUACCCCUGUAGCC